UGCCAGCAGCCGCGGUAAUACGUAGGGGGCGAGCGUUGUCCGGAUUUACUGGGCUUAAAGAGUUCGUAGGUGGUUGAAAAAGUUGGUGGUGAAAUCCCAGAGCUUAACUCUGGAACUGCCAUCAAAACUUUUCAGCUAGAGUAUGAUAGAGGAAAGCAGAAUUUCUAGUGUAGAGGUGAAAUUCGUAGAUAUUAGAAAGAAUACCAAUUGCGAAGGCAGCUUUCUGGAUCAUUACUGACGCUGAGGAACGAAAGCAUGGGUAGCGAAGAGGAUUAGAUA
RNAcentral lists this ribosomal RNA (279 nucleotides) under uncultured bacterium. Its description in RNAcentral is "partial 16S ribosomal RNA". It matches the Rfam family "Bacterial small subunit ribosomal RNA", at positions 506 to 784 of the family's 1533-position model. The record is from RNAcentral.